RNAcentral lists this long non-coding RNA (3922 nucleotides) under Homo sapiens (human). Its description in RNAcentral is "HSALNT0005928". Lineage: Eukaryota; Metazoa; Chordata; Mammalia; Primates; Hominidae. The record is from RNAcentral.
CUGCAGGAGGGCAGGAGAGACCCUCAGUCAGUGCCUCUAGCCAGCAGUGGUUGUGUCAAACAAAAGCCUGGGGUGGCAUUCACUCUCCCAGCUUGUUCUUUGCUGGGAGUUGCUUUUCUGUUAUCCCUGUGGCUACUGAUUCCAAGAAUUGCAUCAAUGCAGCCUGAGUCACAGCAGCAGAUCCUCCUCAGCCCACUUGGAUCACAAUGCCUUUUUUUUUUUUCUUGAGAUAGAGUCUCUGCUCUGUUGCCUAGCUAGAGUGCAGUGGCAUGAUCUUGGCUCACUGCAACCUCUGCCUUCCAGGUUCAAGCAGUUCUCCUGCCUCAGCCUCUCGAGUAGCUGGUAUUACAGGUGUGUGCCACCACACCCAGCUAAUUUUUGUAUUUUUAGUAGAGACAGGGUUUCACCAUGUUGGCCAGGCUGGUCUGGAACUCCUGACCUCGUGAUCUGCCCACCUCAGCCUCCCAAAGUGGUGGGAUUACAGGCGUGAGCCACUGUGGCUGGCCUUUUGUUUUUUUUUCUUUUUUUUUUUGAGACGGGGUCUCGCUCUGUUGCCCAGGCUGGAGUGCAGUGGCACGAUCUUGGCUCACUGCAAGCUCCGCCUCCUGGGUUCACACCAUUCUCCUGCCUCAGCCUCCCGAGUAGCUGGGACUACAGGCGCCCACCACCACGCCCAGCUAAUUUUUUGUAUUUUUAGUAGAGACUGGGUUUCACCGUGUUAGCCAGGAUGGUCUCGAUUUCCUGACCUUGUGAUCCGCCUGCCUUGGCCUCCCAAAGUACUGGGAUUACAGGCGUGAACCACCGUGGCUGGCCUUUUCAACUGGGGUAGGCAGGAACUCUUCCUCUGAUCCUCAUUGCCUUAGCGGCACCAGGGUUAGAAUGGCUGCUGUUGGAGCCCACGUGUUUGGAGGUUUGGGAUCAGAUGAGAUGACCUUUCUUACCUUGAAAUUCAAGGGUUUUUUUCUUACACCUCUUGACUGCCCUGUAGACUCCCAGUAUGACAUUGAUAGAGCAUCCUUUUGGAGACCAAGAUGCAUUCCCAAAGCUAUAAACACGAACAUGUGUGUUCAGGCUUCCUCCUUAAAUACAUGUUGUCACCAAAAGCUGAUUCCUGCUUUUGUGCAAAAUGGCUCUUGGUGGGUCUGCCACUCUGAGUGAUCAGUCAUGUCAGAUGCCACUGGACCCCCACUACCCAAGUGACUUUCCCUGACUCCCCAGCCUUGGAGCUUAUGUGGGUCAAGCUGCAGUCUUUGGUGAGGGGUGGGAGAUAGAAGAAGCCAGUGCAGAAGGUCCUCUUUAUUCCCUAUUCCCUUACCUUUAGUUUUUAAAAAUGUAUCUUAAAAAUCUUCACUAUGGAAAAUUUCUGACGUACGUACAAAAUACCAUCACGAGCCCCCGCGUGUACUCAUCAUAUAUAUGAUUAACAUUUGGCACAUUUGCUUUCUGUUUUCUUUGGCUGCAGUACUUGACACUCAGUCAUAUUCACAUUUCCCUAGUGUUGCCAAUAGUCCCUUUUUAUGGUAGGUUUGUCUCCUUGUUGUUGAUACUCAUAACUUUUCUCGGUGCCUUCUCUGAAUCUCAGGGUACGGUUUUGGUAGACUUCUUUUUACCUUGUGAAUGUUCCUCUUUCCAUCCCACUGUGGUUGCAGGCUAAUGAGCUAAUAACUACUGUGUUUCCUUCUCAUUGCCUCUGAUUGCAGUUCUCUGUGCCUUCUUAUGGCAGCUUCCAUAAAGGAGGGCUUUUUCAGCCUGGAAACCAGAGUCUCUUUAACUCCCAGUUGCCACCUAGCAAUUCUUCCUUCGCAGAGGCCCCGGGCCAUUUCAUCCAUCCUACUGUUGACUACUGUUCACUACAGUUCAUGCUGUCCUCUUGCUGAGUCUUCCUGACAUUCUUGUUUCUAGUUGCAAUCACAAUCACAAAAAGCAGCUAAGAAGUAGCAAGAGCUCACUGUAUAUUAAAUACUUUGUUUAUCUUUUUUGAGACAGGGUCUUGCUCUGUUGCCCAGGGUAGAGUGCAGUGGCACAGUCUUGGCUCACUGCAACUUCUGCCUUCUGGGUUCAACCCAUCCUCCCCACCUCAGCCUCCCAAGUAGCUGGGACUACAGGUGCACACCACCACUCUUGGCCAAUUUUUGUAUUUUUCGUAGAGAUGGGGUUUCAACAUGUUGCCCAGACUGGUCUCGAAAUCCUGGGUUCAAGUGAUCCUCCUCCCUUGAUCUCCCAAAGUGCCGUGAUUUCAGGUGUGAGCCACUGUGUGCCCCACCGCCCCCCAGCUGUUAAAUACUUUAUAUGCAUUGUUCAGUCUUUGUAUUACUGCUUAAUUAAUCUUAUUACAGAGUCAAGUUUUUGUGGGAAUUUUUUGGGGUGGGAGGUGCAGGAAGCCAAUAAAUAACACCUGUCCUUUUUCCUCUCAAUUCGGAACUAUUUAAUUGAUGAUACAAGAGUCAGGCAUAUGGAGCUCAGAAUGUCGCUUUAUUUACAAGUUAAAAUGAUUGAAGAAAGUGACUUUUAACCUGUGACUAAAUGGCCCUGCUACUUUUUUUUUUUUUGUGGGGGGACUGAGUCUCGCUCUGUUGCCCAGGCUGGAGUGCAGUGGUGUAAUCUUGGCUCACUGCAACCUCCACCUCCUGGGUUCAAGUGAUUCUCGUGCCCCAGCCUCCCGAGUAGCUGGGAUUACAGGCAUGCACCACCACUCCUGGUUAAUUUUUGUAUUUUUUUUAGUAGAGAUGGGGUUUCACCAUGUUGGCCAGGCUGGUCUGUAACUCCUGAGUGCCCGCCUCAGCCUCCCAAAGUGCUGAGAUUACAGGUGUGAGCCAUCGCGCCUGGCCUACUCAUUUACUCUUGAUGUCUCCAGGCCCCUCUAGAGGCAAAGCAUUUCCAUGGAAGCACUCAGCUUCCAUGUGGUGUGGAUGUAGGCCAGAAUGCACUCCCUCUCCAAAAGACAGAUCCUAGUGAAGUGAAGCACAGCUUUCAAGGGGGUGGGGAGAAGAAAAGCCAGGACUCCUUCCGUGUGGAAGUGUGCUAGGGGAAGGGGUCUUCUCUCUGACAUGUCUCUCUUUUUCAGUCCUCUGCUCAAAAACCCUUGAGUGUCUUCUUGGUUCCUUUUUAUUUCGGUAUGUACUUUUCAGGCCGAGCCUGAUGAUAAUACCCUAAUAAAUAACCCUCUCUGCUCCAUCGCCAACCAUCCCUCCACCUCCAACAUGUGCUGGCUUGUUUGUUUGAACUACUUAAAAGUCUCUAAAACUGUCUUGGCUGCCCUGCCACUUCCCUCUACUUUCUAAUCAUUUAUGGCAUGCCUACUCUAGGCCAGGACUGUGCCUUCAAGGAGCUCACAGUCUAGGAUAGAUAGGUAAGAGCAAAUCAUUCCAGUACUUAAUGAUACGUGUUGUGGUACAAGUGGGAGAGUUAGCAGCUCAGCCUGGGGUUGCAGUGUAGAGUUCUGGACUGCCUGAGAGAAGGAAACAGUUUAGGCCUGAGGUUAGAAGAAUGCCAGGUGGACAGAAUGAAAUCGAAGAGAAUCUGGGAGAGGAGGGUGUUCUAAAUGCUCAUGAUAACUCAUGCCAGGGUCAAAGCACUUGGGGAUCUGCAGUGGUUUAGUUUGUCUCAGGCAUAUAGGACUGGAGAGGGCCUCAGGUGGUGCUGUUGGGGGAUGUCAAGAGCCAGAACCUGGAGGGUCUGCCUUGUUGCUCUGUGAAGCAGUUUGACCUAGUUGUGGUGUAGGGAGCAGCAGAAGGGUCCCCACCAUAUGCACCAUAUGGAUUUGGAAAUUGAAAACUUUCAUAAUUCAUUCUUUUAAACGCACACACAAAGGGCCGGGUGCCGUGGUGCAUGCCUGUAAUCCUAGCAGUUUGGGAGGCUGAGGCGGGUGGAUCACCUGAGGUCAGGAGUUUGAGACCAGCUUGUCCAACAUGGCGAAACCCCA